GAUGAACGCUGGCGGCGUGCCUAAUACAUGCAAGUCGAGCGAACAGACGAGGAGCUUGCUCCUCUGACGUUAGCGGCGGACGGGUGAGUAACACGUGGAUAACCUACCUAUAAGACUGGGAUAACUUCGGGAAACCGGAGCUAAUACCGGAUAAUAUAUUGAACCGCAUGGUUCAAAAGUGAAAGACGGUCUUGCUGUCACUUAUAGAUGGAUCCGCGCCGCAUUAGCUAGUUGGUAAGGUAACGGCUUACCAAGGCGACGAUGCGUAGCCGACCUGAGAGGGUGAUCGGCCACACUGGAACUGAGACACGGUCCAGACUCCUACGGGAGGCAGCAGUAGGGAAUCUUCCGCAAUGGGCGAAAGCCUGACGGAGCAACGCCGCGUGAGUGAUGAAGGCCUUCGGAUCGUAAAACUCUGUUAUUAGGGAAGAACAAAUGUGUAAGUAACUAUGCACGUCUUGACGGUACCUAAUCAGAAAGCCACGGCUAACUACGUG
Molecule: ribosomal RNA, 497 nt
Filed under: uncultured bacterium
Lineage: Bacteria
Description: partial 16S ribosomal RNA
Rfam family: Bacterial small subunit ribosomal RNA
Source: RNAcentral